GGAAUUGUUCGCAAUGGGCGAAAGCCUGACGACGCAACGCCGCGUGGAGGACGAAGAUCUUCGGGUCGUAAACUCCUGUCGCGCGGGAAGAACAGCGCUCGGAUCAAUACCCCGAUCGCCCGACGGUACCGCUAGAGGAACCCCAGGCGAACUCCGUGCCAGGAGCCGCGGUAAUACGGGGGGGGCAAGCGUUGUUCGGAAUUACGGGGCGUAAAGGGCUCUUAGGCGGCCAACUAAGUCGGUUGUGAAAUCCCUCGGCUCAACCGGGGAAUUGCGACCGAUACUGGAUGGCUAGAAGCCGGGAGAGGGAUGCGGAAUUCCAGGUGUAGCGGUGAAAUGCGUAGAUAUCUGGAGGAACACCGGUGGCGAAGGCGGCAUCCUGGACCGGUCUUGACGCUGAGGAGCGAAAGCUAGGGUAGCAAAC
This 424-nucleotide ribosomal RNA is filed under the name uncultured bacterium. RNAcentral's name for it is "bacterial SSU rRNA". It matches the Rfam family "Bacterial small subunit ribosomal RNA", at positions 358 to 773 of the family's 1533-position model. The record is from RNAcentral.